CUCGUAGGCGGUUUGUCGCGUCGGGAGUGAAAACACUGGGCUUAACCGAGUGCUUGCUUUCGAUACGGGCAGACUUGAGGCAUUCAGGGGAGAACGGAAUUCCUGGUGUAGCGGUGAAAUGCGCAGAUAUCAGGAGGAACACCGGUGGCGAAGGCGGUUCUCUGGGAAUGUUCUGACGCUGAGGAGCGAAAGUGUGGGGAGCGAACA
Molecule: ribosomal RNA, 207 nt
Filed under: uncultured bacterium
Lineage: Bacteria
Description: partial 16S ribosomal RNA
Rfam family: Bacterial small subunit ribosomal RNA
Source: RNAcentral